Molecule: long non-coding RNA, 1328 nt
Organism: Pseudoliparis swirei
Lineage: Eukaryota; Metazoa; Chordata; Actinopteri; Perciformes; Liparidae
Exons: 2
Source: RefSeq, a predicted model, not a curated record
AACACGGCGCGAACGGACUUCACAACAAGGAAGCAGCUGCAGCGACUUUGGCGAGCAGCGCGGAGCCUCAGAGGAGCUCCAGAGCCACGAGGAGGAACACGCAGCCAGAAGAGAUCCACUUGGACCGGAGAGGAUUCACCAGCACCUGCAGUGCAGCCUGCAGAUCCACCUGCAGCCCCACCUGCAGCUCUACCUGUCCGGCCAGCAAUGGUCUCGUGCCCCGGAGGACCAUGACACGAUGACAUAAUGCCAUUAUAGUGAAGCCAUAUUGUAAAUAUUCUGUAUCAAUAUUUGUGUUCUGUUUUCUAUUUCUCAACAUGAAUAUUAUGGAGAAUAUGUUUACUUUUUGUAAUGUAUAAUACAUUUAUUUGAAGAAGAAAAAAUGUAAAUGGUAAUUUUUUAUUUGCACACACCCCAUGAAACUUUAUCUGCAAUAUUAAGUCAUUUCUCAGUCCCAUCUUUAUCAUUUUGGUGAAUGUGUGACGGACCACAUCAUUUCUACUCAAAAAACGAUAAUACAAAAUGUGGUUUUUGACAUCUUUACAUGUAUCUAGCAUUGUAUUCAGAUAUUUCACUGCUUUUGUGAACCCAUGACUUUUGGUAAACCAAUUUUAAACACCAAAACAGUUGGUCCACAUGAGUAAAGGUGUGUUUUCAGAAGAGAUAUGAAGAAUUUUUAGAAAUCGAACUUACAUUUUCAGCUUGUACCUGAGGUCAAUUGUGCCUCAUUAUAUAGAGAGCUGAGAUUGUUCUGGAAUUUUUGAUGUAUAACACAUGGGUAUGUGUCAUAUGCAAAAGCCUUUUAAAGGUGAAUUUAAUUUUGUUUGUAAAAUCGAGUCGAAAGGGCUGCGUUUGAGGCACAACUCAGAGCUGCAGCACAACAACAUCCUCAAAGAAAGACACAAGGAGGAGAGCAUUGACACAUUCUGGAUAUCCUGUGUUCUGAGGAACACAAACCCUGCAUUAAUCCUGUGUGCUCAGAAAAUCCUGACCUGCUUUGGAUCUACUUAUGUGUGUGAAAGCUCCUUCUCUGCCAUGGGAAUAAUAAAAUCAAAGCAGCGUUCCAGUCUAACUGACAGACAUUUGGCAGACUAUCUCAGAGCAGCUACAACUGAGCAACAACCAGAUCUGAAAGGACUUGUGAAAAGAAUGCACACUCAGAGCUCUCACUAGGAAUAAGUAAACAGUUGUUUGUUAUAUUGUUAUUGUUAUUAAUAUUUGUGAAAUGCAGACUCAGAGCUCUCAAUAGGAAAAGUAGCAAUUGCAAACUUUAUCAAUGUCAUCAAUGCAAAGCUAUUCACUCCAGUGUUAAUAAAACAUCAGCUUGA